Molecule: long non-coding RNA, 745 nt
Filed under: Elaeis guineensis (African oil palm)
Lineage: Eukaryota; Viridiplantae; Streptophyta; Magnoliopsida; Arecales; Arecaceae
Description: long non-coding RNA (EGUI_LNC075504)
Source: RNAcentral
AAGACAAGUCUCAGUCUACCGAUUCUAUCCUAGAGGCCCCUCCUUUCAUUGAUCAUCAAAGUUUGUUGGGUUUUAUUCGGAUUAAGGUGGUGUAGUUUUAUGUUUUUGUCUCGUGUUGAUGUUAGUUUUAAGCUCCUGUGUUGACUCUGGGUUGAAGUUUUAUCAUGUUACAUAAUUGGAUAUGCAAGAUCAUAGCAUGGUUUUAGUAUGAUGUUUGGCCCAACACUAGGUGCAAUAUCUUAUAUAUGGUGAUAUGCAAUUCUAGUGCAAGAGUCUGUUCUGGUAUUAGUUAAUUUAUGUCCUUAAUUAUCAAUAAGGGCUUUCUGGGAACAUGCGCUCAGCCUGUGUUUAGGUUUUCGUUGUGCUGGAUAGUAAGUUCUAAAAAUCUCUUAAUCUCUAGAUGGAUUUGCAAUUAUGUUUGUUUUGCUUUCGUGUUAUCCCAGCAAUAUGAAUGAUUAAUUCCAAGAAAAAAUAUGCAGCGCAGGUACGUACCUAUAGCUAUUUGUGUCUUAAACUGACCUUGUAUGAGUUUGCCAUGAUCAGUAAUAACACUCGGAUUUUUGGUGAUCGAUGUUUGCUGCCAUGCAUGAAUAAUGAGCGCAUUUCCAUUGAUUAAACUGAAAAGAAAUGUUGGCAAUAAUAGCACGUUUAAAUUAAUUUAUAGGGGAGAAAAGAAAAUGUCGAUCCCGCCGAAUUCACCAUGGAGAGGAUGUGCAGCAAACUUCCCCCAACCUGUCGAUGAAGA